RNAcentral lists this ribosomal RNA (495 nucleotides) under uncultured bacterium. RNAcentral's name for it is "partial 16S ribosomal RNA". It matches the Rfam family "Bacterial small subunit ribosomal RNA", at positions 28 to 507 of the family's 1533-position model. The record is from RNAcentral.
GACGAACGCUGGCGGCGUGCCUAAUACAUGCAAGUAGAACGCUGAAGGGGGAGCUUGCUUCUCCGGAUGAGUUGCGAACGGGUGAGUAACGCGUAGGUAACCUGCCUGGUAGCGGGGGAUAACUAUUGGAAACGAUAGCUAAUACCGCAUAAUAGUAGAUGUUGCAUGACAUUUGCUUAAAAGGUGCAAUUGCACCACUACCAGAUGGACCUGCGUUGUAUUAGCUAGUUGGUGGGGUAACGGCUCACCAAGGCGACGAUACAUAGCCGACCUGAGAGGGGGGUCGGCCACACUGGGACUGAGACACGGCCCAGACUCCUACGGGAGGCAGCAGUAGGGAAUCUUCGGCAAUGGACGGAAGUCUGACCGAGCAACGCCGCGUGAGUGAAGAAGGGUUUCGGAUCGUAAAGCUCUGUUGUAAGAGAAGAACGAGUGUGAGAGUGGAAAGUUCACACUGUGACGGUAGCUGACCAGAAAGAGACGGCUAACUACGUG